RNAcentral lists this ribosomal RNA (510 nucleotides) under uncultured bacterium. RNAcentral's name for it is "partial 16S ribosomal RNA". It matches the Rfam family "Bacterial small subunit ribosomal RNA", at positions 28 to 507 of the family's 1533-position model. The record is from RNAcentral.
GACGAACGCUGGCGGCGUGCUUAACACAUGCAAGUCGAACGAAGAGCGACGGAAGCUUGCUUCUAUCAAUCUUAGUGGCGAACGGGUGAGUAACGCGUAAUCAACCUGCCCUUCAGAGGGGGACAACAGUUGGAAACGACUGCUAAUACCGCAUACGAUCUAACCUCGGCAUCGAGGAUAGAUGAAAGGUGGCCUCUACAUGUAAGCUAUCACUGAAGGAGGGGAUUGCGUCUGAUUAGCUAGUUGGAGGGGUAACGGCCCACCAAGGCGAUGAUCAGUAGCCGGUCUGAGAGGAUGAACGGCCACAUUGGGACUGAGACACGGCCCAGACUCCUACGGGAGGCAGCAGUGGGGAAUCUUCCGCAAUGGACGAAAGUCUGACGGAGCAACGCCGCGGGAGUGAUGACGGCCUUCGGGUUGUAAAGCUCUGUUAAUCGGGACGAAAGGCCUUCUUGCGAAUAGUGAGAAGGAUUGACGGUACCGGAAUAGAAAGCCACGGCUAACUACGUG